UCGAGAAUCUUCCACAAUGGACGAAAGUCUGAUGGAGCGAUGUCGCGUGAUGGAUGAAGUGCUUCGGUACGUAAACAUCUUUUAUGAGGGAAAAAGUUUUGAUUGUACCUCAUGAAUAAGGGGCUCCUAACUCUGUGCCAGCAGGAGCGGUAAUACAGAGGCCCCAAGCAUUAUCCGGAUUUACUGGGCGUAAAGGGUGCGUAGAUGGUCGUGUUAGUCGUAUGUUAAAUCCCGGAGCUUAACUCCGGACUCGCAAACGAAACGGCACGACUCGAGGGUACGAGAGGUAUGUGGAACUCAUGGUGUAGGGGUAAUAUCCGUUGAUAUCAUGGGGAACACCGAAAGCGAAGGCAGCAUACUGGCGUAUUCCUGACAUUGAUGCACGAAAGCUAGGGUAGCGAACGGGAUUAGAUACCCGUGUAGUCC
RNAcentral lists this ribosomal RNA (426 nucleotides) under uncultured bacterium. Its description in RNAcentral is "bacterial SSU rRNA". It matches the Rfam family "Bacterial small subunit ribosomal RNA", at positions 355 to 796 of the family's 1533-position model. The record is from RNAcentral.